RNAcentral lists this ribosomal RNA (933 nucleotides) under Calacarus carinatus. RNAcentral describes it as "eukaryotic LSU rRNA". It matches the Rfam family "Eukaryotic large subunit ribosomal RNA", at positions 366 to 944 of the family's 3401-position model. Lineage: Eukaryota; Metazoa; Arthropoda; Arachnida; Trombidiformes; Eriophyidae. The record is from RNAcentral.
AAAUAGAACUUUGCAGAGAGAGUUAAGAGGGCGUGAAACCGUUAAUUGGCAAACGAAUCGGAGCCGCGAAGUCGUUUCGUCGAGCUAGGUCGGGUUCAGCUUGCAACCUUCGGGUUGCUGGCGUAUUCUCGUGCCAAGCCAAUGUAAGCGUACACUGCAACCAGUUAGACAAUUGUCCAUGGAACCAGUUGAUCUUGGAUGCGCAAGCAUCUAAGUUUAGCGAACGGUUUGUUUGGUCAGGUUAGUAGUAGUGUGCUGUGGACUUGUCCUCAGUGUGCUGCUGGAUCUGUUGCCAAGUGACCUAUGGGCAAAUACUGACUGGCAAAAUGAAAAUCGCGCGCAAGCGUGUGCACAAAUUGCGCCUUGUUGUAUGAUAGGCUACACAAUCCACCGUGGAUAUAUUAAAGUUCGGUGCUUUUGAAUUUGGACUUGCUAGCUACCAAUGGGGCAACUCUUGGUGCUAGUAUAGCUUCCAUCUAAUCGGGUGCUGGCUUGUAUUCACGUCGUUGUGGUUGUGCUACGAUCGGUCUACAUAUAAGCGAGUGCGUGAAAAUUGGCAGUGAGUAGGUCGGCUUUCCGAACGACCCGUCUUGAAACACGGACCAAGGAGUCUAAUUAGCAUCGAGUCGAUCGGUCUUGUUUAGGCCAGACUGGUUGGGCUUGUCCCAGCCGAUUGAAGGCGUAGAGAAAUCAAAUCAUGUGAUCGUUUGGACCCAAAAGGUCUGGAUGCGCAACAUGUGCCUGUUCGUAUGAGAGUGUUUAACAAAACCUCUCGAGCGGAGCAAAGAGAUGCCUGAUUGGUACCCGAAAGAUGGUGAACUAUGCUUGGGCAAAUUGAAGCCAGAGGAAACUCUGGUGGAGGAUUGUAGCGAUUCUGACGUGCAAAUCGAUCGUCAGACCUGAGUAUAGGGGCGAAAGACUAAUCGAACCAUC